AAGGAUCAUUAGUGAUGAAGUGGUGCCAUGGGUGCAUCAUACCGUCCGGUAGGUAGGUAUAUAUGGAUCAAAUGAAUCCAUAUACAGAGAGAGAGACCCUUGUGUGCAUCUAUCGAAAACGUGCUUUGGGAAGUGAAUCUUUCAUGAAGCCCCAUGAAGGUUCCUUCCCAGAGUUUUGUCUCACUGAUGCUUUAACUUUCAGGCUGAGAAUAAAAAAUCGUAAAUGAAAUCCAAUACAACUUUCAACAACGGAUCUCUUGGCUCUC
RNAcentral lists this unclassified non-coding RNA (266 nucleotides) under uncultured fungus. Its description in RNAcentral is "partial contains 18S rRNA, ITS1, 5.8S rRNA, ITS2 and 28S rRNA". The record is from RNAcentral. Lineage: Eukaryota; Fungi.